GACAGAGGGUGCAACCGUUGUUCGGAAUUACUGGGCGUAAAGCGCGUGUAGGCGGCUAAGUAAGUCGGGCGUGAAAUCCCACGGCUCAACCGUGGAAGUGCACUCGAAACUGCAUAGCUAGAGUCCUGGAGAGGAAGGUGGAAUGCUUGGUGUAGAGGUGAAAUUCGUAGAUAUCAAGCGGAAUACCGGUGGCGAAGGCGGCCUUCUGGACAGUGACUGACGCUGAGACGCGAAAGCGUGGGGAGCAAACAGG
Molecule: ribosomal RNA, 253 nt
Filed under: uncultured bacterium
Lineage: Bacteria
Description: partial 16S ribosomal RNA
Rfam family: Bacterial small subunit ribosomal RNA
Source: RNAcentral